Long non-coding RNA from Astatotilapia calliptera (eastern happy), 1156 nucleotides. The record is from Ensembl. NCBI's taxonomy places the organism in Eukaryota, Metazoa, Chordata, Actinopteri, Cichliformes, Cichlidae.
GUUAAUCUUGUUAAAAGGACGUUAACGCCACAACCACAUUAACCACAAAUCUCAGUGAGUUAAUACGGAUUGCCCUGUGCAUGGGGCUGGACGCUAAUGCGUUAACGAGCUAACUGUGCUAAUGCUUUAACGAGCUUAAUGAGCCAAACGAGCUAACGCAUUAACGAGCUAAUGCAUGAACGAGCUAAUGCAUGGGGCUGCACGUUGACACCGUGCAGCCCCAUGCACAGGGCGAUCCGCGCUAACAGAGAUUUGCCGCGCUAAUGCGGUUAUGGCAUAAAUGUCAUUUUAACUAGUUUAACACUGAGCGCACUAAAAAAUAUAUAUUGACAAAUACAAAUAGCAACAGUGACCAAUUUCAAAACAUUAUAUGUGCACUCACCUUCUGUAAUUAUGCAAAAAAAAAAAGUAAAUAGAUGACUGAAUUAGCUAAAUUAGCAAAUUUCUGCUGUAAGCCUGGUGUCUAAUAAAUAAGUAGCCAAAUAAACCUGACCCCAUAAUACACUUUAAAUGAAAGGCCCAUGUUUGCAUAAAGAAAAACAAAGAAAAGAAAAUGGGAAAUGGUGAAAGGGUGAUUGUUCAGACAUUAAAAAAUACAGGCUUUUAAAAUGAGUGAAUCAAUUAAAAAAAAUACAAACAAAAAAUAAAAGGUAAUGCAUAAAGAGAGAAAUAAAGACAGAAAAUCUAUUCAUAUUGCAUCUUUUAAAAUUUUUAGUACCCACAUGAAGCUUGUUUUAUGCCUUUUUUCUUACUCUGUGUGUUUAUGGAUUGAGGAUUUUGGCAGGUUAGGUUCUCCGUACUUCUCAACCCCAGACUUUAGGCAGGACAAUGGGCUCAUUUCACAACAUUGCUUCAGCGCUUACACACAGUGUAGACAUGCUGUAUUGCCUGCUGAGGAGGAUUUUGAAAAGACAAUACAGGAAAGUAGACAGCCCAAUCCAUUACAAGGCCUCUAGAAUUACAUUUUCCUGAGAUACAGUGGAGCUUUGGGAGAUUCAAUACACCGUGUUCCUGGGGAUGGAAACAGUUUGGCCCAGGUUGGCUAAUUCUCAGAGACUAUGUACUUACUCACAGCAAAAACAGUUCAAUACACAAAAGGAGGAUUUUGUGAUAAACAGAGGGAAUUUUCGUGUCUUAAAUUUAUCGGACAGGUGCU